This 592-nucleotide ribosomal RNA is filed under the name uncultured bacterium. Its description in RNAcentral is "bacterial SSU rRNA". It matches the Rfam family "Bacterial small subunit ribosomal RNA", at positions 8 to 596 of the family's 1533-position model. The record is from RNAcentral.
AGAGUUUGAUCAUGGCUCAGGAUGAACGCUGGCGGCGUGCCUAACACAUGCAAGUCGAACGAAGCGCUUGAUUGGAUUUCCUUCGGGGAUGAAGAGCUUGCGACUGAGUGGCGGACGGGUGAGUAACGCGUGGGCAACCUGCCUCAUACAGGGGGAUAACAGCCGGAAACGGCUGCUAAUACCGCAUAAGCGCACAGGACCGCAUGGUCCGGUGUGAAAAACUCAGGUGGUAUGAGAUGGGCCCGCGUCUGAUUAGCCAGUUGGCGGGGUAGAGGCCCACCAAAGCGACGAUCAGUAGCCGACCUGAGAGGGUGACCGGCCACAUUGGGACUGAGACACGGCCCAAACUCCUACGGGAGGCAGCAGUGGGGAAUAUUGCACAAUGGGGGAAACCCUGAUGCAGCGACGCCGCGUGAGCGAAGAAGUAUUUCGGUAUGUAAAGCUCUAUCAGCAGGGAAGAAAAAAUGACGGUACCUGACUAAGAAGCACCGGCUAAAUACGUGCCAGCAGCCGCGGUAAUACGUAUGGUGCAAGCGUUAUCCGGAUUUACUGGGUGUAAAGGGAGCGCAGGCGGUGCGGCAAGUCUGAUGUG